This 209-nucleotide small nucleolar RNA is filed under the name Dasypus novemcinctus (nine-banded armadillo). RNAcentral's name for it is "Small nucleolar RNA SNORA73 family (ENSDNOG00000043305.1)". It matches the Rfam family "Small nucleolar RNA SNORA73 family". From Rfam's summary of the family: U17 (SNORA73A and SNORA73B) also known as E1 belongs to the H/ACA class of small nucleolar RNAs (snoRNAs). Vertebrate U17 is intron-encoded and ranges in length from 200-230 nucleotides, longer than most snoRNAs. The record is from RNAcentral. Lineage: Eukaryota; Metazoa; Chordata; Mammalia; Cingulata; Dasypodidae.
CCCACAUGGAUAGCCCAGAAGGUCACUCUCCCCAGGCUCUGUCCAGGUGGCACAGGUGGCACAGGGGAGCACGCGGCCCUGCCCUGCAGUGUACAGUCCCACUCCACAACGCUGGAGACGAAGCCGGGCCUCGAGCCUGCACCUGCAUAUCCCUACAGCUUCUCAGAAUCCGAUGGACAAUUACGGAGAAGACAAACCAGGAAACUGCU